This 162-nucleotide small nucleolar RNA is filed under the name Trichophyton rubrum BMU01672. RNAcentral's name for it is "CD-box snoRNA". Lineage: Eukaryota; Fungi; Ascomycota; Eurotiomycetes; Onygenales; Arthrodermataceae. The record is from RNAcentral.
UAUUCGAGACUUGUUAGAAACUGAUUGACUGAAGAAUCGAAGUAGAUGUAUGUAUAAAGGUGAGUAAAAUCAGACAAGGCUGAAACUUAGAAGCUGACAAAAUUCCACAUUAUUGGUUAAGCUUGAGGAAUGCCUUUGCAUGUCAUAGUGUCAUCAUAAAGG